This 253-nucleotide ribosomal RNA is filed under the name uncultured bacterium. Its description in RNAcentral is "partial 16S ribosomal RNA". It matches the Rfam family "Bacterial small subunit ribosomal RNA", at positions 524 to 776 of the family's 1533-position model. The record is from RNAcentral.
UACGUAGGUGGCAAGCGUUGUCCGGAUUUAUUGGGCGUAAAGCGCGCGCAGGCGGUUCGAAAAGUCCAUGGUGAAAGCGCCUGGCUCAACUGGGCGAGUGCCGUGGGAACUGUCGAGCUGGAGGGAAGCAGAGGCGAGUGGAAUUCCGGGUGUAGUGGUGAAAUGCGUAGAGAUCCGGAGGAACACCAGUGGCGAAGGCGGCUCGCUGGGCUUUACCUGACGCUGAGGCGCGAAAGCGUGGGGAGCGAACCGG